RNAcentral lists this long non-coding RNA (465 nucleotides) under Chinchilla lanigera (long-tailed chinchilla). Its description in RNAcentral is "lncRNA (ENSCLAG00000026824.1)". Lineage: Eukaryota; Metazoa; Chordata; Mammalia; Rodentia; Chinchillidae. The record is from RNAcentral.
GACGUUUACACCUCACAGCCUGAAGGAGGGACAGAAUCUUCCCUCUUCGGCAAUCUGGAUGGCUUUGGACAAGUCACUUAGCCUCCCUGAGUCUGUUUACCUACCUAUCUAGUAACCACAAUGUGCAGAGAGAACAUUGAAUUCAUCUUAGUAGGCCCAGGGCCAGCGUCUGGAUGGAACUCAGUGAAGUCACAAAGCCGAGCGCACCCGAUCUCCCUCCAGCUCUAGCAGUCAUUCACUAGACAAACCCUAACACUGCAGGACUGUUCUUCACCAGGUGCAGUUGCACCUGGAAUUUAACCAAUCAUCCUGCUGAGAACCUCAAGAAAACUGGACAAAAAGUGGUCAAAGGAUGCUGGACGGAACCCAGAAUUUGGCAGUGUCUCCUUGGGUAUCUAAAUUUCCUAGAAGAAGGUGACAAACAGCUGAGAAGAAAUAAUGGCAGCUCCCCUGAGCUAAGAGGAC